Long non-coding RNA from Ailuropoda melanoleuca (giant panda), 8511 nucleotides. RefSeq lists it as uncharacterized. The transcript is spliced from 2 exons. Lineage: Eukaryota; Metazoa; Chordata; Mammalia; Carnivora; Ursidae. The record is from RefSeq and is a predicted model, not a curated record.
GGGGCGGGCCGAGCGACGCAGCCGGGACGGUAGCUGCGGCGCGGACCGGAGGAGCCAUCUUGUCUCGUCGCCGGGGAGUCAGGCCCCUAACUCGAAGAAGCCCUGGCGCGCCCUCCCCCCCUCCCCGGUCUGGUAGGGCGAAGGAGCGGGCGCGCGGUCGAUCGAGCGAUCGGUUGGCGGCUCUUUCUCCUGCUCUGGCAUCCAGCUCUUGGGGCGCAGGCCCGGCCGCCGCGGCGCGCGCCCGGUGGCCGUUGGCGCUCGCGCCGCGUCUUUCUUCUUGUACGCAGAACUCGGGCGGCGGCCUAUGCGUUUGCGAUUCGACGAGGAGUCGUCCGGGUGGUCGGCGGCGGCGGGCAACUGCUCCGCCCCGCUCCCGGGGAGGCGGCGGCAGCGGCGGGAUUUGGCGCGGCCGGGGAGGCGGGGGUGGCCGGGGCCGGCCUGGAGGCCUGGCGCCACCCUUCGGGGCCUGCAAGGACCCAGUUGGGGGGGCAAGAGGGCGCCGGGGGAUGGUUGGUGGUGGGCUUUCUACUUUGCCUUUUCCUCCUUAUGCCCCCUUAGUGAGGGGCGGGAGCUCCCGCGGCAGCUCCGGGGUGGGGAGACAAGCCCCGGAGUCGGAAGAGCUGGGUUUGCUUCCGGGCCUAGCCACCAGCUGGCCGAGUGACCUUAGGCAAAUCACUCUGUAAUUUGUCGGCGCCUCAGUUUCCUCCUUUGCCUAUCAAUGUUUGUGGGGUUGAAAGCGCUUUGUAAAGUAUAAAGCGUUGUUGUACGUAAGGGGUGAUUAUUGUUUGUAAUGGGUUUUUUUUGAGUUGUAAGAAAAGUUAGCAAUUGCCCAGUUCUUGGAUUUUGGACCUGGGAACCUUGGAUUGAAGUUGGAGAUCCCCCAAACUCCCCGAAAUUGUAUGCAGAAAUAGUGGGAGUGUGCAUUUUUGGGGAAUGAGGAUCCAUCGCCAGCAAGUUAUCAGAGGGGGCUGUGACCCAGAAGAGUUAAGAACUACAAUUGUUUUAUGCCACAGGGAGGAAACUGAGGCCUAGUUGUCAUUUGGGACCCUUCACAACCGAUUUGAAGCCCCUGUUUGAAUCCCUGGGAUAUGUGAGCUGUUUCUAUGCAUAAUGGAUAUUUGGGGUAACAGCACUCCGCUGCUUGGCUUCUAUUCUGAGUCCUUUCCUUUUACCAUGGGGUGCCUGAAAGGUGGCUGACACGUUGGUAUGGUUAAAUGGCACCCAACGUAAAGCAGCUAAAACUCGAAAUGGGUGUGUUCUCUAGUCCCUGCAAUUCUUAGUGUUUUGCUGCUUAUACUGGUACCUGACUCCCGUUCUCUUUCAUUGACCGUUUUCCACAACCAUGGUUGCCAUCCAUUACUUGCUUCUAUUUUAUAUCCUUAGUCUGUGCGGUUGGUAGUGAGCAGGCUUAUUUUUAAAUGGUGCUGCCGAGUCCAGCUAAUUAAUGGUGCCGGUGGAUUUUUAGCAAGCUGGCUCACUGGAACAGACUAAGCCAGGCAUGGGAUUCCUGAAGAUGUUUGGGGGUUUGUCUUUAUUAAUUGAAGGUUAACAUUCUCUGAAGAGUUUUGUUAAUGACUUCUGCUGAACUUAAAAAUCAGUAGAUUUGGAAGUGUUUCGAUGCUUAACUUUUUCCUGGCCUGCUUUGUAUUCUGUUUGCUUGCAAGUGUGUUACUAAGAUGGCCAAAAUGCCAGUUACUAUUUCUUUGUUAAUUGUCAGCUGCUUCUAUCAAAUUCCAGGCCAUUGUGCAGCAAACACUAUAGAAAUGUUUGAACAGUUGAAUUUCAAACAUUUUCAUUUUGUGGAGUGGUGCUUACCAGUGGUAAAGCUCUAAGCAAGUGAACAUAAACACAUUUAAGUGUAUUUUGUCUGGUUAGGUGUUUACCUGUUUUGCUAUUUCAUACAAAUGUCUGAGAAGAUCAAUUGACUAUUCCUUUCACGUAAAGGGCAGAGACAAAUGAUCUCACUUCCAGAGAAAUGACUGUUUCGGAGAAAAAUGUGUUGGUCUUUUAGCUCUUUUGUUAUUAUUUGGAUGUACCUCAAAAGAAUCUUAAGACUGUGGUGAUCUUAUGCUUUCCUCGGGAGAAAGGAGGAGAAAAAACAACUGGAACUCGAAGCUUGAAAUUCUGUGACAAAACAUGAAAUGUCCAGGAUAGGAGGCCGAAAAGGUUUCACUACAGUGUUCUGCACUGGCUGAAGCAGAUUCUUUUCUGUGUAGCCACAGCAUGGACUCCAGAUUUCCAGAUUUUCAACACCUGGGACCUGAAGAGCGUGUCAGGAUGUGACAGGAACUCUGGAGCGGAAUAUUUUUGUUUUUGAAUUUGGGGGCUGUUGACCUUGCUUUGAGAAGAGACAGCAACUGAGCAAGCACUGCCACCAGCACCAUUACUGGGAAUUUGAAGACCUGAGUUUCUGCCAGACCUUCAGUGCAAACUCUAGCAACACUCCAUUGAAAGUGAACUACGUCCUGUGCCUCCUGAUUGCUGAGUGUUCGCCUGGACCUUCUGGCCACCUUCCUUGUACAAUUACAUCAGCCUACAGAUCUGGUACCUGGAUUUUUGCCCUUGGUGAUUCCUUCACUUUACUGCUAAAGAAGACACCAUUGCAGUGGACCACUGUGAUCCAAGAGGCAUUCAACCAUCAUGAUGUGGCCUUCACUUCCACUCCUGUCCUGUUCCACCCAGAUUCAGCACAGCCCUUUACAGUGAAGUCAAACUGUUUAAGCCAAGUAGCUGAAGCUAUUUUAUCACAACGAAGGCCCAAUUUGUUCCUUGAGUGUGCAUUAGUUUCUUCAGUUAAAGCCUUCAGAGACACAUAAUAAAUUUGGACCAGAGGAUUUUUAGUUAUCAACACUGAAGAAUGACAACAUCUUUUCAAGAAUAGCAUUGGACCAUACCCCACAAUCUCAAAUGAUUGAAAUUCAUGAAGUGUCUAGGAUCCUAUCCAGGUCACUGGACCUUAUUCUUUUUCCACUUCAAGCCUAUAGUAGCCUACUGAAUAGAAAGCAGAUAUUCUGACCAGCAGAUAUUGGGAUUAAAACAAAGGCACAGUGAACUCACAGCAUCUUUGGGAUUACUCAGGAACCAGAACUUUUCACACAAAUAUAAGAAAUUCUACCAAGGAAUCCCUUUAUCUAACAGCAUCUCACAAAGCUCCAGUCAGAUUCCAGAAAAGGCCUCUUGAUACAUCCAGGUAGAACCUAUAAUGGUAAUCCCUUAUGUUUAUAUGGCACUUUAUAGUUUCAAAGCACUUUUACAUGCAUUAAUCCCAAUUAUCAAAAUAACACAGUAAAUUAUAAUCAUUUUUGCAAAUGAGGAAAUGGAAAUUUAAAAGGUUAUACAAGGUGACCCAGCUUCAGAGUGGUAGAGGUCAGGCCUUCUGACUCCCAGUCCAGUUCUCUCCACAGAAUGAACUUAGCCUCUACUUUACCUGCAGUGUUAAGAUGACUGGAGAUUGGUAACCCCAGAAAAGUUUCCAACUUCCUGAUCUGGUACCCUCAGUAGUCAGGAUGUCAUAAGUGUAAUCUUGUGAUGGCCGUACCCCUAAGGUUUAAGAGCAGACUGUCUCCAUAGUGGUAGAUUAUUCCAGUCAACAAGGCCAUGUUCAUCUGACAAUAAGACUACGUAAUAUGAAACACAAAGCUACUUUAGAUCUGUUGUUCACAUGGUAUUCCCAAAUGGCCUAAUUGGAGAUCCCUGUUCAUGUUUUCUCCUUUUUUUUUUUUCCCCCUAAGUCUUAUUAAUUAAUAACUCCUAGACACCAAGAUCUUACCUAUGGUCCUCUACCACCAAACAUUUACUUAACAUAAGUCCUGCAUUUUUUUAGAGCAGUGCUAUUCAUAUAUGUGUAUGUAUAUUUGAUGCAUACUCAUAUAUGAAGAGCUUUGGUAGUCCUGUAAGAUGGUAAAAUAUGUGUUCCUCCCCUGAUUCAGUGUUGUGUAUUAAAAGAUCUCAGAAGGCUUGGAACAAAGAGCCUCAUUGAGCUGUUCAGCCCAGUGUGUCCUAAAUUUAAUCAAACACCGAAUGUUACUGUUGCAGCAUUCCUUUAAAUGGAAUGGGGAAACUGCUUUAAAGCAGUAUAGCCAGUGCUUCCUGAUUGCCCUGGAGACCCAGGAGUAAACAGCCUCUUUGAAGCCCCUCCCCCCCAUUUCUUACUUUGUCAAUAACUGCUUGAAUUGGUAUGUCGUCAUCAUCUGAAAGACCCACACCUUGACCAUUACCUCUUUCUUUUCUGCUAAAGGAACCGCUAGAAGAUUUGUGGGGAUAUAUGGGGAGGGAAUGGGGAAAAGGUAAUGUUGCCCCCCCCCAAUUGGAUGAGUUCCAUGACAUUUAGCAAUAUACUUCUCUGUCCUUAGAGUUGUGCUGUAAAUCUAGCUCAAAGGUAUUGAAUCUCAGGUGGGUGAGGAGAUUGGGAAGGGAAGGGAGGAGGAGAAGGAUGGAGAAAGGGGGAAGGAGGGAUGAGAAGGAAAUAAUUUUCUUAGAAUUUGAGUUCUAGCCCAUUGAGAUCUUACCAGUGCUUGAAAAGAAGUCAUUUAGCCAUGGACUUGGGAUAAUAUUUCCAAAGAAAUGGAAUGCAUUUUGCAGAUGUAUGCUGACUGCAAAAAUCCAGUGCUAUUGUCACUUAAAACCAAUAGCCUGUUCUCUGAGAUAUUCACAAACGCAAUUUGGGGCCAUCAGAAUGUGUAGCAAACUUGAAUGUUAACUUCAUUCUUUAAUGUGGCCCAUAUUAGGGAAAGAAUGACUAGGAAAACACCUUCUUGGCUUACCACAGGCUUUGCUCACAGUUUCUGGUUUCUGUGACCUAUUUUUUGUAUUUCAGCAUUUUGUGAACAACUUAUUCUUAGAUCAUUGGUUUUCCAAAGGCUUUGUGACCAUGAAGCCCUUUGGAUGAAAACUAUGUGGAAGCCCAGAGUAAAAGAGGAGCUGCUGUAGAUGAAGCAGGAGUGGGGGGCCUGAAAGCUGCCACAAGCAUCUUCCUUUACCACCAUGGUGACCCCUAAGGAGACUUCUUUACAACACCUAGAAUUCUUCAGAACACAGUUUGAAAACCACUGCCCUAGACAACAUGUGCAACCUAACUGGCAUUCUGAUGAUCUGUACCUCUGCCCAGCCCAGUCCAUGUUCAGUUGAUGCUGCACAUUCUUAGGAAUACUUAACUGUGGGCAAAGUCAGAAAAGUGCAAGAAGAUGGGCAUAUCUUGGCCCCCCCAGAGUAGUCAUGUGGGCUGAAAGUGGUCUCAAGUGAACCUAGACUAGCAGCCCUGUACCCCCAGAUGGAUUUCAAGUCAGUGGUACCUGGGAUUCUAUAUAGUCAGCAAUUCAUAUGUAUUCUACACUGACCCACCCCCUUACCCAGCUUCCUUAACAAACACCAGAUGCUCUAGUGGUACUUGAAAUACAUAACUUUGAAGUCUUGAUCCUCCUUGGAUACCUGAAUCGCCAAGUAUUGAAGCUGGUACUAAAGUUGAUGAUGCCUCAUUGAGGCCAUAUUAAACCAACUUGUACAUUGGACCUCCCAUCAUCAGCCAUGGUACUCUACUUCGUGUGCAAGGGAUAAACAUUAACUAUGAAAGUAGAACUGAAAUUCUGGCAACAUUACCUAAAAGGGUACCUGAUUCAUCUUAUUCUCAAAACUACGAGUCACUCUGACUCAACCAGUGGCAGUUACACUGCUCCUUGGUUAUUCAGUUUAACUGCUAUUGCCAGGAUAAAUGAGCUAGUAACCUUUAAAAAAAUUUCCUCCAUCAUUGGCAGAUCUGCUCCAAAAUUAUCAAUACUCUGCUGUAACUCCAUGUAACACCUGAUCCAGAAGAGACUAUUUUUGAACAUCCUCUCUCAUGUAUGUGAUUUUUAAAUGUGAUCUUUUGGAAAAUUUUCUUCUAACCAGUGAGAGGUGUUCUUUUAUGGAUCUUUUGAUGUCUGGUACCAUCAACUACAGGUGUUAGGGAUAUUUGGAGGUAGGCCUUUUGACCAGGCCAUGGUAGCUUGCUUGCUGGGCAUCUCAAGUUGCGUAUCGUCUACGUUUUUGCUGGAAAUGUAGACUGACUUGACAAUCUACAAGCCUGCAGCUAAGAUUUUAUCAGUAUACUCAAGAGCUUCCUGCAGCUUCUUCCUAAUGUUACAAGACCACAGAGUCUUGUCUUUGUGGAUGUUUUCCUGGAAUUUCAUCUGUCUCAAUACUGUUGUUUUAUACUGAUUUGGAGUGGCUGACUUCAUUCCUUGCUAUGAGGUACUCUCAUGCAUUAAGACACUUACCUGUUUCUGCAGGAUGGAUUCAAUUCAUGAACUCCCAGACCAGAUGAUGUCAAACAAGUAGACUUCGAUUUGUGUCAUGAGAAAGAUCUCAGUCCCUUAUUUCACAGUCUACUUAAGGGCCAGCUGUCCUCAAAUAUACUCUAAUGAAUGCACUGGUUAAAUGUUGGGAAUGGUUUCUUUGUAUCUUUGUCUCUUAUUCUCUAGACUAACCCUGAUUACAUGACUCUGUCUACAAAUCAUCAAACAAGGCCUGCACAUCCUCAAGUAAUAAAAAUUUAAUGACUAGCUUGCUUGUAUAUACAACUAUUGUUAAUAGGAAGUUAUCUACAAACUCCAUUUUUCUACCUUCAAAAUGUCAGCUCGAUUUUUUCUUCUGUACUUACAGAAAAAGACACUGAUCUACACUGCCAGUCAUUCCCUUUAAUCCUGUCAAACGCAGUCAAAAUGAGGGUCUUAAGGUGAGGAUGAUCAUCUGUUCAAGAGUCUAGUAUAUGCUGUGUAUAAGAAUUGAUGGUUGAAAAUGAAGAAAGCCUAAAACUGAAACCUAGGAUCUUAACUACUAUCUCCCUGCCUCAGAUCUCAAUCUGAGUCUUUGAGCAGCACCAUCCAACCAAUCUAAGGCCUUGUGUAUAAGCUGAUUCUCAGAGAUGGGUCGAGUUUCUGAAGAUGGAGACUUGAUUACCAAAGAGAGUAGGGCCAAUCUUCAUCAACCUGGCUCUCCCAGCCUUGUCAUUCCCAGAUGUAGCAUAGACUCCUCAACAGAACCUCAAGUCUGAAUUGAGAAUAUAGCCUUCUACUGAGCUGAAAGUUCUUGAGCAGAUAAACAAAAAUCAGAGCUGCUAUACCUGACUGGCCCUUUAAGAAAAUGGUAUCAAGAGUAAACCCUAAAGAAUGACCCCGGAGUACUGAGGGUAAAAACUAAUUUACAGAGCUUUGAUUAUCGGUCUGCCCAUUCUUCCAGAUCACAUCCUGGCUGUUGGUGUGGCUAGCCCUGCUGAAGGUACCCUGUUUGCCUGUUUAGACUCAGCCUUUGUAUGCCUUUUUUGACAUGUUGCAGUCAAGACUGGUCGUGCUUGAGAACUACAAUUGGUAUCAGCCUGUCUCACACUCAGUUCCACAAAGGAGUUUUGAAUAGAAGCAACCUACAUCUCACCUCCCCACACCUCCUGCCAGGACUUAAUGUUCACGACUAGAAGGACCAUGCUAUAUACCACUUGACCAGCAGCAUUUCUUUUUUUUUUUUUCAAGUGCAGAGUAAGCCUCUACGCCUAUAUGUAUUUCAUCAUGUUCAGCACUUGAGACCCGUUCUACCAGAUCAGAAGGACUACAGCAGAUUGAAAGCACUGUCCAUUCCUCUCUUCUGCAGUAAUACAGAGGUGACAGAAAUGUACCAGUUCACCUUGGCAAAAGACUAAAGUAACACAAGAAAAGUUUUCCACUGAACUUAAAACUUACCACUGACUUCAAUAGCCUCACAGAACUAUUUGCUAGUUGUUGUCCUGCAUCAUGUCAGCAAGAUGUUUGGGCUCUCAGAUUCAAGUCCACUGAGUACUUCUGUUGAAACACUAUUGCAUCAUCCAAAGUACGCUAUUGGACACGAUUAUUCCAUUCAUAUGGAUUACAAGCUUCCUGAGUACAGGACAAACUUACUCCUCAUGAUGUUUUUUCAGAAUACUUUUAUUAUCAAGAAAGUAACAAUGCCAGCUGUUACUGAACAGAGACUAAAAACUUUUUCAGUAUCUGGUCUUACUGACAUCAGUUGUUUCUGAUUGACCAGCAUCGAUUCCAUCUGUUUUUGUAUCAACUCUGUGAUGUUUCUUGGAACCACUUUUCCCUCUCUUCAGUCCACAUGGUUCAGACAGUCUGACCUAACUUAAAACUUCAUGGGUGGACAUGUUAAUUCAGACCUGAUCAGUCAGCAUAGUCCAUCUCUUUCACCAUAAUGAUUGGUUCUGGAAUGGUUGUGUGGUCCAAGUUGGUCCAGUGAUACUCAGCCCUAGGAGUUUUACUGAACUGUAGAGGGGAAGCUCAGAAGCUCUCUUUACUGAGGUUGCUCGGCUUUGUAGUAUGAAAAGUUCAAACCACCAGGGCCCACCAUAUCAAAUGAGCCAGAGAAUGAAGCCAGUGCAGAGCCAAAUGAUGGAGAGACUUGAGUCCUGAUGACAACGUUAGUGCCCCUGGAUCCAACCGUGCCUGAAGCUAGUAUAUCCCUAUGGACUUUUCAGUUAUGUGAGCCAAUAAAUACCGUUUUUUGCUUUAA